Annulohypoxylon nitens is the source of this 122-nucleotide non-coding RNA. NCBI's taxonomy places the organism in Eukaryota, Fungi, Ascomycota, Sordariomycetes, Xylariales, Hypoxylaceae. The record is from the annotation of a GenBank genome assembly.
GCCCGGCUGGCUCAAUGGUAGAGCAUCAGACUUCUAUUUUUCUCUUCUAUUUCCUGCCGUAGGUAGUGGAUGGAUUCGUAAAGUGAAUCUGAAGGUUGUGGGUUCGAGUCCCACGUCGGGUG